AUCAUAAUCAAAACGUGUGGAAGUUUAAUUAUUGUUUUGUUUUAAAGAGCAAAUUAAGUAAACAUCCGUAAAGGAGAACCAUCAAGGUACCCCACAAACCCACCACUCAUACACAUUGUCACUCUUUGUAAAAAAUCAUUGCCUAAUAUGAUACAAAAAGGUUCACGUUUUGGAAUAACAUAAAACUUAACGUUUUCGUAUUUCUUAUUGUCUAUAACAAUGUCCACUGUGCACGAACCACUCGUUUUUAUCACUGAUAAACCUAAUCCACUGACCGAAACACUAUCAUCGUAACACUAAUUUCUAGUUGACGACGACACACAUCCGUAAUAAGAUUGAUAUCGCUGCCCGAAUCCACCAGCGCAUCUGUUGUUUUACCGCAUAUUUCCACCGUUUUCAGCGGUUUCUGGCGCGAUUUCGAUGUAAACAGUGCUAUGUUGUUGUUGUUAUCAAUGAUAUUAUAAAGAAAAAGAGGUAGAUAUCGCACUGGCACGCAAAAAUUGUUGCGAACGAAUUCAGACAAUUGUCGUAAUUUGUUUUUGUCGGCUUAUAGCAGCGAGCGAAACAACGCGUGUCUGUGUCGUGCCUAUAUUUGCCUAAAAUGCCAAGUUGUGUGUUACGAAAGUGUAAAAACUAUGGUUCCAAGAAAAAUAAGAGUGUAGGAGUUUCAUACCAUACAUUUCCUACUGAUGAUUAUAUAAAACAUAAAUGGGUCAGCAUAGUUCAGGCGGAAAGAAGUGAAUUUAACUGGAUACCUACAAAAAGUAGUACAAUUUGUUCUGAACAUUUAAAAAAUGAAGAUAAAUAUACUACUUCUAAGUUAGUUUGAAAAAAACUACAGUACCUGUGAUGGCCCCGGACAAUGAUGAUGUUCCACAAUUUCGCUCACCUACCAGUCUGGACCAUUUUGAUAUAUCCGACAUGGAUUCGACACCCCCAGAAAAAUACGUUAGGCGGAUAUUCCAUACUGCCCUGCCUCAUCCCCGUGUUUUGGCUAAAUGGUACCAAAAUAGUUCAAUGUUGCCGGGUUUUACGAAACAGGCAUUUGAUAUUUUAAAACAAAAAAGUAAUUUAUCUAGUCUAGAAAAAAAAAUAUUUGUGGCCUGAUUGUAGACGAAAUGGCUCUCAGGCAUCAAACUCAAUGGACAGGCAAAAAUACAGAGGGAUUAGUAAAUUAUGGUUCUGGACCUUCAGAAAACAAAGAAAUUGCAACAGAAGCAUGUGUUUUUAUUUUAGUAUGUUUAAGUGAAAACUGGAAAAUUCCUGUAGCUUACUUUUUCGUCAAGGGGUUAUCAUCAGAGACGAGGGCUACUUUAAUCAUGGAUUGUUUAAGACAUUGUCAUGCAGCAGGCGUUGACGCAGUAAGUUUGACUUUCGAUGGUU
Long non-coding RNA from Helicoverpa zea (corn earworm), 1383 nucleotides. RefSeq lists it as uncharacterized. The record is from RefSeq and is a predicted model, not a curated record. The transcript is spliced from 3 exons. Lineage: Eukaryota; Metazoa; Arthropoda; Insecta; Lepidoptera; Noctuidae.